This 403-nucleotide ribosomal RNA is filed under the name bacterium. Its description in RNAcentral is "partial 16S ribosomal RNA". It matches the Rfam family "Bacterial small subunit ribosomal RNA", at positions 355 to 776 of the family's 1533-position model. The record is from RNAcentral.
UGGGGAAUAUUGCACAAUGGAGGGAACUCUGAUGCAGCGACGCCGCGUGAACGAAGAAGGCUUUCGAGUCGUAAAGUUCUUUUAUAUGGGAAGAUAAUGACGGUACCAUAAGAAGAAGCCCCGGCUAACUACGUGCCAGCAGCCGCGGUAAUACGUAGGGGGCUAGCGUUGUCCGGAAUCACUGGGCGUAAAGGGUUCGCAGGCGGAAAUGCAAGUCAGGUGUAAAAGGCAGUAGCUUAACUACUGUAAGCAUUUGAAACUGCAUAUCUUGAGAAGAGUAGAGGUAAGUGGAAUUUUUAGUGUAGCGGUGAAAUGCGUAGAUAUUAAAAAGAAUACCGGUGGCGAAGGCAACUUACUGGGCUCAUUCUGACGCUGAGGAACGAAAGCGUGGGUAGCAAACAGG